CGUCCUCCACCUGUUGCGGGCAGAUCCAGUGGAUGUGGGCGUCGAUGCCGCCCGCCGUCAGGAUCUUGCCCUCGCCGGCGAUGACCUCCGUCCCCGGCCCGAUGAUGAUGUCGACACCGUCCUGGAUGUCGGGGUUGCCGGCCUUGCCGAUGGCGGCGAUGCGGCCGUCCUUCAGCCCCACGUCCGCCUUCACCACGCCCCAGUGAUCCAGGAUCAGCGCGUUGGUGAUGACGGUGUCCACCGCCCCUUGCGCUCGAGAGCGUUGCGAUUGCCCCAUGCCGUCGCGGAUG
RNAcentral lists this small RNA (290 nucleotides) under Caenispirillum salinarum AK4. RNAcentral's name for it is "5' ureB small RNA". It matches the Rfam family "5' ureB small RNA". Lineage: Bacteria; Pseudomonadati; Pseudomonadota; Alphaproteobacteria; Rhodospirillales; Novispirillaceae. The record is from Rfam by way of RNAcentral.